This 301-nucleotide ribosomal RNA is filed under the name uncultured bacterium. Its description in RNAcentral is "bacterial SSU rRNA". It matches the Rfam family "Bacterial small subunit ribosomal RNA", at positions 505 to 805 of the family's 1533-position model. The record is from RNAcentral.
GUGCCAGCCGCCGCGGUAACACGUAGGAGGCGAGCGUUAUUCGGAUGUACUGGGCGUAAAGCGCGUGUAGGCGGCUUUAUAAGUUGGAUGUGAAAGCUCCCGGCUUAACUGGGAGAGGACGUUCAAAACUAUAGAGCUUGAGUACGAGAGAGGAAAAUGGAAUUCCGGUUGUAGUGGUGAAAUGCGUAGAUAUCCGGAGGAACACCAGUGGCGAAGGCGAUAUUCUGGCUCGAGACUGACGCUCAGACGCGAAAGCUAGGGUAUCAAGCGGGAUUGGAGACCCCGGCAGUCCUAGCUAUAA